GUACUCCACUUAACUCCAGUUGAUCCUGCUGGAGGAUACUGCUAUCGGAGUUUGACUAAGCCAUGCAAGUCUAACCUUCGGACUUCCGGGGGUGGCAAAGGGCUGAGUAACACGUAGUCAAUCUACCCUGAAGAAGGAGAUAACCUUGAGAAAUUGAGGACAAUAUCCUAUAUUCCACCUAUGUUGGAAUGCUUGGUGGUUUAAAUGGGCUGUGAAUUGGAACAGUUCCGCUUCAGGACGAGACUGCGCGGGAUUAUGGUUGUUGGUAGGGUAACGGCUUACCAAGCCUAUAAUCUCUAGGGGCCAUGAGAGUGGUGGCCCCCAGAAGGGCACUGAGACAAGGGCCCUAGCCCUACGGGGUGCAGCAGGCGCGAAACCUCUACAAUGCUCGAAAGAGUGAUAGGGGAACUCCGAGUGGCGUAAGCUAAGCUUGCGUCUUUUGCCAAGUGUAAAUAGCUUGGAGAAUAAGGGUGUGGGCAAGACUGGUGGCAGCCGCCACGGUAAAACCAGCGCCUCAAGUGGUAUCCACGAAUACUGGGCCUAGAGCGUUCGUAGCCGGCCAGGUAAGUCUUCUGUGAAAUAGUGUAGCUUAACUACACUGCGUGCAGGAGAUACUGCUUGGCUUGGGAACGGGGGAGGUCAGGAGUACACCCGGGGUAGGGGUAAAAUCCGUUGAGCCUGGGUGGACUACCAGUGGCGAAGGCGCCUGACCAAAACGUGUCCGACGGUGAGGAACGAAAGCUGGGGGAGCGAACGGGA
This 759-nucleotide ribosomal RNA is filed under the name Microcaldota archaeon. Its description in RNAcentral is "bacterial SSU rRNA". It matches the Rfam family "Archaeal small subunit ribosomal RNA", at positions 1 to 728 of the family's 1478-position model. Lineage: Archaea; Nanobdellati; Microcaldota. The record is from RNAcentral.